Molecule: long non-coding RNA, 988 nt
Organism: Gallus gallus (chicken)
Lineage: Eukaryota; Metazoa; Chordata; Aves; Galliformes; Phasianidae
Source: Ensembl
CGCUUUUAUUUCCAUGAACAGCAACAAGCCCUGGGGCACUAUUGUGUACAGUCCAGGAGACUUCAUUCUUAAUAAAAAUCUUGAGAAAGAGAUCAUGAAUUAAACAGCUACGCUGUCAGGCAAUAAGCACUGAACAAUCAUUUACACAGAUUUCUUCAAAGGCGGUACCAGUGAGGCAGCCUUAGAUUACAGUCCUGAAUGUUAAGGUAUUAGUGACCUGAAAUCCUGGACCCUCAUGACUGGUUACCUUACUGAGAUAUUGAGAAGUUCAGAUACCGAUGUCUUUGAAGACUCUGUUUACAUCAUCCAGCUCAAAUAGCCAUUGGAAAGAGAUUAAAAAAAUGAAAUAACCACAACCAAUGAACAAGCCAGCAGUGUUCUGGAAUAUCUACAACAUCAAUUUGCCUGCUUAUCUUAGGUGUUGCCAUAAACCUUGCGUCAGAGAACUGCUACACUUGCACAGUUUCUCACUACUUGCUGACCAACGCUGAGCUCACAAUACAACUGUCCACCAACCACCACUCUACUGGCAAGACAAGGUCACAACCACACAAACUACCAGCCAGUCAACUAUAUGGCCUUCUGUAUGAUGUCAUACGGUAUGGAAUGACCCUUGGACUAAUUCAGAACAGCUCCUGGCUCUGCCUGACCCUCUGCUGCUGUAUCAUGAAGUCAGCCACUCUUCCCCACCUGGCAGCCUGGCUUGGUUCUGGCUGUGUUCCUAUCACUCAGCAACAAUGAAAAUAUUGGUGUGCUUUUAAUGCUGUUUCAGUCAAAAUUGUGAUACUUACUAAUAUCUAUAUAGUAUUCUAUUGUCAUUCCUGUGUUGCUAUAUCUACAUACCAGUACAAUUUAAUUCAUUUUUGACCUAUGUGUUGAGCUGGUAUUGAUUUAUUCUAUUUUAUGCUUAGAAGGCUUCAUUUCCAUGUGACUUCCUUCCUGAAAUAAAAGCUUGCAAAUUGAUCUAUGUGGAUUUGGCAAAGAGUAG